This 606-nucleotide ribosomal RNA is filed under the name Ornithinimicrobium sp. CMT179. RNAcentral's name for it is "bacterial SSU rRNA". It matches the Rfam family "Bacterial small subunit ribosomal RNA", at positions 271 to 885 of the family's 1533-position model. Lineage: Bacteria; Bacillati; Actinomycetota; Actinomycetes; Micrococcales; Ornithinimicrobiaceae. The record is from RNAcentral.
AGGCGACGACGGGUAGCCGGCCUGAGAGGGUGACCGGCCACACUGGGACUGAGACACGGCCCAGACUCCUACGGGAGGCAGCAGUGGGGAAUAUUGCACAAUGGGCGAAAGCCUGAUGCAGCGACGCCGCGUGAGGGAUGACGGCCUUCGGGUUGUAAACCUCUUUCAGCUCUGACGAAGCCUUCGGGUGACGGUAGGAGCAGAAGAAGCACCGGCUAACUACGUGCCAGCAGCCGCGGUAAUACGUAGGGUGCGAGCGUUGUCCGGAAUUAUUGGGCGUAAAGAGCUUGUAGGCGGUUUGUCGCGUCUGCUGUGAAAGCCCGGGGCUUAACCCCGGGUCUGCAGUGGGUACGGGCAGGCUAGAGUGUGGUAGGGGAGACUGGAAUUCCUGGUGUAGCGGUGGAAUGCGCAGAUAUCAGGAGGAACACCGAUGGCGAAGGCAGGUCUCUGGGCCACUACUGACGCUGAGAAGCGAAAGCGUGGGGAGCGAACAGGAUUAGAUACCCUGGUAGUCCACGCCGUAAACGUUGGGCGCUAGGUGUGGGUCCCAUUCCACGGGGUCCGUGCCGCAGCUAACGCAUUAAGCGCCCCGCCUGGGGAGUACGG